Peromyscus eremicus (cactus mouse) is the source of this 1265-nucleotide long non-coding RNA. RefSeq lists it as uncharacterized. Lineage: Eukaryota; Metazoa; Chordata; Mammalia; Rodentia; Cricetidae. The record is from RefSeq and is a predicted model, not a curated record. The transcript is spliced from 2 exons.
AGGCCAGAAGAGGGUGUUGGGUCCCCAGGAGCUGGAGUUAUAGGUGGUUUCAAGUCACCACAUAGGUUCUGGGAACUGAAUUCAGGUCCUCUGGAAGAGCAGUACAUGUUCUUAACCACUGAACCAUCUCUCCAGCCCACUAAUUUUACAUUAAAAAAAUCAUUUAGUAUAAAAUCUAGUUAUUAUUUAAAAAAUGUAACAUAGGGAAAGACUACCAUUAACAAUAUGUUAAUGAGUAAAUUCUUUGGGAAAACCUUUUUUUUUUAAAGUGAUUUAUUUAUUUACAUUGGUGCAUCUGUGUAAUGAUAUUGGAUCCCCUGGAAGUGGAAUUACAGACAGUUGUGAGCUGCCAUGUGGGUGCUGGGAAUUGAUCCCAGGUCCUCUGGAAGAGCAGCCAGUGCUCUUAACCGCUGAGCCAUCUCUCCAGCCCCCAGGAAAACCAUUUUACAAUAAUCCAGUAAAGGGGGCGGUGGUGGAGCACACCUUUAAUCCCAGCACUCGGGAGGCAGAGGCAGGAAGAUCUCUGUGAGUUCGAGGCCAGCCUGGGCUACAGAGUGAGUUCCAGGACAGCCACUACACAGAGAAAUCCUGUCUCAAAAAACAGAAAAGAAAAGAAACAGAGGCAAGUGGAUCUCUGAGUUCCAGGCUGGCCAGAGCUACAUAGCAAGACAGUAAUGCGGCAAAGGCCGAUGGCGUGCUCCCCAUUCUUCAGUUGGUACCCAUCUUGUAACAGCUGUACUUGCCACUACCAUGUUCUAUCAGUCUUCAGUGACAAAACUCACUGAACGUCUGCAAUGGUCCUCUCCCUUAAGCUUCUGUCUCCAGUCAGGCACAGGUGACACUACUUGACAGGUCUACUUAUACACUCUAUCAGAGCCACGUCACCUAGGAUGUGUGCCAUAGACUCUUUAUUAUAACAAAUGCUUUCUGCCCUUACCUGAUGAACCAUUAAAGACUGGACCUGUCGCUUGAGGACCUGCAUUCUAGCUGUUGUGACAACCGACCGCACAUCAGGUACCACGCUCUCACUGAGGAUCUCACUGAUGAGGCGGUGGUUUCUCUGGAAACGGGCGGUGGCUGUAUGCUUCAUUGAAAAGCCAUCAUCAUAAUCUGGAAUGAAGGAAAUGUCCUGGAAAUUAGGUGGCUAGUAACCAGAACAAGGUUAACAAGCAAUUACCAAUAUCAUCUUCGCACACCUGGUAGCAAUCUGCACUAAUAUCUUAUUAACGAUCAAUCCAUGUGAGUCUAUUAAAUGGGUAACAGAA